GGGAAAGCCAAAUAAUCAAACAUUUAAAAGAGUAUUUCCAUGUCAUAUUCAUAUCAUUAAUACAUCAACUUCAUUUCCACCAUUUUAAACACAAAACCGUGGAACCUAAAACAAACUUCCACCAUCUUGUAUCAAAAUUCACAAAGAACAACCAAAAAGAUGCAUCUACAAUAACACAACAGACACCCUCCCUCCUCUUCUUUUCCUCGUCCCAACAUAGUGCGUAUCUAAUCUUUCUUCUUAUCUUUC
This 249-nucleotide unclassified non-coding RNA is filed under the name Hevea brasiliensis (rubber tree). Lineage: Eukaryota; Viridiplantae; Streptophyta; Magnoliopsida; Malpighiales; Euphorbiaceae. The record is from RNAcentral.